RNAcentral lists this ribosomal RNA (299 nucleotides) under Serratia marcescens. Its description in RNAcentral is "partial 23S ribosomal RNA". It matches the Rfam family "Bacterial large subunit ribosomal RNA", at positions 2650 to 2925 of the family's 2925-position model. The record is from RNAcentral. Lineage: Bacteria; Pseudomonadati; Pseudomonadota; Gammaproteobacteria; Enterobacterales; Yersiniaceae.
GGCGUUGGAAGAUUGAGAGGGGUUGCUCCUAGUACGAGAGGACCGGAGUGAACGCACCACUGGUGUUCGGGUUGUCAUGCCAAUGGCAUUGCCCGGUAGCUAAGUGCGGAAAAGAUAAGCGCUGAAAGCAUCUAAGCGCGAAACUUGCCUCAAGAUGAGUCUUCCCUGGGCCUUUAAGGCCCCUGAAGGAACGUUUAAGACUAAGACGUUGAUAGGCUGGGUGUGUAAGUGCAGCGAUGCAUUGAGCUAACCAGUACUAAUGAUCCGUGAGGCUUAACCUUACAACACCGAAGGUGUUU